UUCGCCCUUAGAGUUUGAUCCUGGCUCAGGACGAACGCUGGCGGCGCGCCUAACACAUGCAAGUCGAACGAGCGAGAGGAGGUUUACUUUCUCAAGCGAGUGGCGAACGGGUGAGUAACGCGUGAGGAACCUGCCUCAAAGAGGGGGGCAACAGUUGGAAACGACUGCUAAUACCGCAUAAGCCCACGACCCGGCAUCGGGUAGAGGGAAAAGGAGCAAUCCGCUUUGAGAUGGCCUCGCGUCCGAUUAGCUAGUUGGUGAGGUAAUGGCCCACCAAGGCGACGAUCGGUAGCCGGACUGAGAGGUUGAACGGCCACAUUGGGACUGAGACACGGCCCAGACUCCUACGGGAGGCAGCAGUGGGGAAUAUUGCACAAUGGGGGAAACCCUGAUGCAGCGACGCCGCGUGGAGGAAGAAGGUCUUCGGAUUGUAAACUCCUGUUGUUGAGGAAGAUAAUGACGGUACUCAACAAGGAAGUGACGGCUAACUACGUGCCAGCAGCCGCGGUAAAACGUAGGUCACAAGCGUUGUCCGGAAUUACUGGGUGUAAAGGGAGCGCAGGCGGGAAGGCAAGUUGGAAGUGAAAUCCAUGGGCUCAACCCAUGAACUGCUUUCAAAACUGUUUUUCUUGAGUAGUGCAGAGGUAGGCGGAAUUCCCGGUGUAGCGGUGGAAUGCGUAGAUAUCGGGAGGAACACCAGUGGCGAAGGCGGCCUACUGGGCACCAACUGACGCUGAGGCUCGAAAGUGUGGGUAGCAAACAGGAUUAGAUACCCUGGUAGUCCACACUGUAAACGAUGAUUACUAGGUGUUGGAGGAUUGACCCCUUCAGUGCCGCAGUUAACACAAUAAGUAAUCCACCUGGGGAGUACGACCGCAAGGUUGAAACUCAAAGGAAAUUGACGGGGACCCGCACAAGCAGUGGAGUAUGUGGUUUAAAUUCGACGCAACGUGAAAGAACCUUACCAAGUCUUGACAUCCUGCGACGGUGCUGGAAACAGUACUUUCCUUCGGGACGCAGAGACAGGUGGUGCAUGGUUGUCGUCAGCUCGUGUCGUGAGAUGUUGGGUUAAGUCCCGCAACGAGCGCAACCCUUAUGGUCAGUUACUACGCAAGAGGACUCUGGCCAGACUGCCGUUGACAAAACGGAGGAAGGUGGGGAUGACGUCAAAUCAUCAUGCCCUUUAUGACUUGGGCUACACACGUGCUACAAUGGCCGGUACAGAGGGUUGCCACCCCGCGAGGGGGAGCGGAUCCCGGAAAGCCGGUCCCAGUUCGGAUCGCAGGCUGCAACCCGCCUGCGUGAAGUCGGAGUUGCUAGUAAUCGCGGAUCAGCAUGCUGCGGUGAAUACGUUCCCGGGCCUUGUACACACCGCCCGUCA
Molecule: ribosomal RNA, 1381 nt
Filed under: uncultured bacterium
Lineage: Bacteria
Description: 16S ribosomal RNA
Rfam family: Bacterial small subunit ribosomal RNA
Source: RNAcentral